This 1899-nucleotide long non-coding RNA is filed under the name Marmota monax (woodchuck). The record is from RNAcentral. Lineage: Eukaryota; Metazoa; Chordata; Mammalia; Rodentia; Sciuridae.
UGUGUAUCCAGUGGUUUAUAUAUCCUUAAAUUUAUAAGAAAUAACAGAAAAACCCCUAACUAUUGUAUCAUAUUAGUGGCAGCAGUGCUAUAUUCUUAUUCUGAGAAUGUUGUGCAUUAGCGUGGAAUAAAAGAAAUGAGCAAUUUAGUUGGGUUCUUUUGGUAUCUGAGACUUAGCUCUAUUUUAUCUUUCAUUAUAUAUUUUACAGAUUAAAAGAGAUUUAAAGAUAUCAUUUAGUCUCAUAUAUAGGACUCAUCUGGAACUAAAUUUAAAUAAAUGGAAAAAUACAUAUUUAUAAUUAUGCAAUGGGGGAAACAGACUAACUGGUAUUUGAUUUUAAGUAAUUACUGUUAAUAUUUAGAUGUGAUUUUUUUAAUAUCUUCAUUUUAUUUAUUUAUUUUCAUGUGGUGCUGAGGCUCCAACCCAGUGCCUCAUAUGUAUGAGACAAGUGCUCUACCACUGAGCCACAAUCCCAGCCCCUUUAGAUGUGAUUAUUAUUAUUAUACUUCUGCAAAAAUUUCUUCAUGCUGAAAUAUUUACAGAUGAAAUAAUAUGCUGCCUGGAAUUUGCUUCAGAAUAAUCUGUGGAGUUGGCUACUGUGAGUGGAUGUUUACUAGGGAUUAGGAAUAAUAAGAUUUUCCUUAAAUUGAUAAAUUGUUGAAGCUGAGUAUUACAGUGGGGUUUUUCCUACUUUCUUGAGGUUUUCUAUGAUAAACUAUUUUAAGGUUAAAAAAUUACGAAGUUAGACAAUGUAUAAAUGGCAAGGUAAGAUAACUGGUAUUAACAUUACAUAACCCUUAUAUUAUGCUUCUAACCUAUUAUAAUGUUUGGUGGGGAAUGGGCAUUUAAUUUUCUAGGAAGUACACAUCUGCCACGUGACCAGCAUGCGAGCUUCAUAAAAGAGGUUCAAAGCAUAAAAAUUAACUAGUGAGUUUUAAAAUUAAAGAGACAUAUUCUCAUUACCUUUAAUGCCCAGCUCCGGAGACGGCUUCUCCUAGCUCCCGCCUCCAGCCACCUAAUGCGGUGGCAAGGUUAACACAAGAGGCUAGCGAGAGAGAGAACACGCCAGGGAGUGAGCUUUUAUUGGGGAACAAAAAUUCAAGGGAAAAUUCCAUCCAAUGAAGGUCGAUGGGGGCAGCAUUCCAAGGUCAGGGUCAGUGAUUGGUCUUCAGGUCAGUGGCCAGGCACACCUCCACAUGGACAAGCCCUCGAACCUGGGACAGGGUGGGGAAGGCUCUGACACAGUUGUCUAAGCGCCUCUCACCCAGCCAGGGAGAUAACUCAAAUCACGUGCGAGAAUGGCUUCCCAUAUACACCUAUAGUGAUCUUAGAGUGGGCAUGAGAAACAAAAUAGAUUGUAUAUCAAAAGGAAGGUUGAAUAGUACUACAAAUUCUCGAAAAGGCACCUCACUACAGUGGGGGGAAAGAUAAUUAUGACUUUAUAUAAAUGGCAGUAAGCAUUGAUAGAGGUAUAUGGAUGGAUGGUUAGGUAUCUAUAAAUUUUUUUUCAUGUGCUUUAUUUUAUUAAAUAAAGCUUAGUUCAAUCUAUCUUUAGUUUUGAAUUUUUUUCUUUUAUUUUUUUUCGUCUCUAAGUGGUGAAGAGCACACAUUAUCUUGUUAGUGAUGCGGGAAAAAUGAAUCCAGCAAUACAUGGUCAGAACUAUUAUGUAAUGUGAACACAAGUGAUUACAAUAAAUCUUUUUACUAUUUUACUUAUUUUAUUUUAUGGUUUUGGGGAUUGAACCCAGGUUCACUUAACCACUGAACCACACCCCCUUUUUAUUUUUCAUUUUGAGACAGUACCUCACUAAGUUGCUUAGGUCCUUGAUUAGUUGCUAAGGCUGGCUUUGAAAUUGUGAUCCUCCUUGUUAAGCAAGAUGUUAAUUAUUCUGUGUUCAG